This 915-nucleotide ribosomal RNA is filed under the name uncultured archaeon. Its description in RNAcentral is "bacterial SSU rRNA". It matches the Rfam family "Archaeal small subunit ribosomal RNA", at positions 1 to 922 of the family's 1478-position model. The record is from RNAcentral.
UUCCGGUUGAUCCUGCCGGAGGCUACCGCUAUUGGAGUUCGAUUAAGCCAUGCGAGUCGAGAGUCUUAGGGACUCGGCGCACCGCUCAGUAACACGUGGGUAACCUGCCCUAUGCUGGGGGAUAACCUCGGGAAACUGAGAAUAAUACCCCAUAGUUCACCACGCCUGGAACGGUGGGUGGACCAAAGCUCCGGCGGCAUAGGAUGGGCCUGCGACGUAUCAGGUUGUAGGGGGUGUAACGUACCCUCUAGCCAUCAACGCGUACGGGUGUUGGGAGACAUAGCCCGGAGAUGGAUUCUGAGACACGAAUCCAGACCCUACGGGGUGCAGCAGGCGCGAAACCUUGGCAAUGCGAGCAAUCGUGACCAGGGAACUCCAAGUGGCUGGGGUAAGACCCAGUUUUUUCUUGACUCUUCAAAGGUCUUGGAAUAAGGGGUGGGUAAGGACGGUGCCAGCCGCCGCGGUAAUACCGGCGCCUCAAGUGGUAGUCGCUUUUAUUGGGCCUAAAACGUCCGUAGCCGGUCUGGUACAUUCGUGGGUAAAUCAACCCGCUCAACGGGUUGAAUUCUGCGAGCACGGCCAGACUUGGGACCGGGAGAGGUGUGGGGUACUCUCAGGGUAGGGGUAAAAUCCUGUCAUCCUGAGAGGACCACCUGUUGCGAAGGCGCCACACUAGAACGGAUUCGACGGUCAGGGACGAAACCUAGGGGCACGAACCGGAUUAGAUACCCGGGUAGUCCUAGGUGUAAACGCUGUGGACUUGAUGUUGGGGGCGCUCCGAGCGCUUUCAGUGUCGAAGCGAAGGUGAUAAGUCCACUGCCUGGGGAGUACGGUCGCAAGGCUGAAACUUAAAGGAAUUGGCGGGGGAGCACUGCAACCUGAGGAUUGUGCGGUUUAAUUGGAGUCAACGCCGGA